AACGAACGCUGGCGGCAUGCCUAACACAUGCAAGUCGAACGAGACCUUCGGGUCUAGUGGCGUACGGGUGCGUAACGCGUGGGAACCUGCCCUUAGGUUCGGAAUAACUCCCCGAAAGGGGUGCUAAUACCGGAUAAUGUCUUCGGACCAAAGAUUUAUCGCCUUUGGAUGGGCCCGCGUUGGAUUAGCUAGUUGGUAGGGUAAAAGCCUACCAAGGCGACGAUCCAUAGCUGGUCUGAGAGGAUGAUCAGCCACACUGGGACUGAGACACGGCCCAGACUCCUACGGGAAGCAGCAGUGGGGAAUAUUGGACAAUGGGCGAAAGCCUGAUCCAGCAAUGCCGCGUGAGUGAUGAAGGCCUUAGGGUUGUAAAGCUCUUUUACCCGGGAUGAUAAUGACAGUACCGGGAGAAUAAGCUCCGGCUAACUCCGUG
Molecule: ribosomal RNA, 433 nt
Filed under: uncultured bacterium
Lineage: Bacteria
Description: partial 16S ribosomal RNA
Rfam family: Bacterial small subunit ribosomal RNA
Source: RNAcentral